CAAUAGCGUAUAUUAAAGUUGUUGCGGUUAAAAAGCUCGUAGUUGGAUUUCUGAUGGGAGUGGCUGGUCCGCCCUUAUGGGGUGUGAACUGUGCUUACUCUCGUCAUCCUUGGGGAAAGCCUUCCUGGCAUUAAGUUGUCGGGUUGGGGAUCCUCAUCGUUUACUGUGAAAAAAUUAGAGUGUUCAAAGCAGGCUUACGCCGUUGAAUACAUUAGCAUGGAAUAAUAAGAUAGGACUUUAGUACUAUUUUGUUGGUUUGCGUACCAAAGUAAUGAUUAAUAGGGACAGUUGGGGGUAUUCGUAUUCAGUUGUCAGAGGUGAAAUUCUUGGAUUUAUUGAAGACGAACUACUGCGAAAGCAUUUACCAAGGAUGUUUUCAUUAAUCAAGAACGAAAGUUAGGGGAUCGAAGACGAUCAGAUACCAU
This 425-nucleotide ribosomal RNA is filed under the name uncultured eukaryote. RNAcentral's name for it is "SSU rRNA". It matches the Rfam family "Eukaryotic small subunit ribosomal RNA", at positions 592 to 1018 of the family's 1831-position model. The record is from RNAcentral.